Molecule: long non-coding RNA, 218 nt
Filed under: Elaeis guineensis (African oil palm)
Lineage: Eukaryota; Viridiplantae; Streptophyta; Magnoliopsida; Arecales; Arecaceae
Description: long non-coding RNA (EGUI_LNC040402)
Source: RNAcentral
GGGGUCCUUAUUUAUAGACGGAGGGCAUAACUGAUUGACAGCGACGUCUGUAACCGUCUGGUAGUGGACCGCUCAGAGCCGCAUGGAGUUUGUUACGGAGAGUAGUGGUGUCAGGGGUCGUUCAGGGCCACGUGGAGCUUGUUGUGGAGAGUGGAGUGGUAUCCGUUGUCGAGACUUGCCAGAGAGUGGUGGAGCUGCAUGGGAUCCAUUGCAGAGAG